CAGUAGCCGCGGGAAUACGUAGGUGGCGAGCGUUGUCCGGAUUUAUUGGGCGUAAAGGGAGUGUAGGCGGUCUUUUAAGUCUGAUGUGAAAGCCCACGGCUCAACCGUGGAGGGUCAUUGGAAACUGGGAGACUUGAGUGCAGAAGAGGAGAGCGGAAUUCCAUGUGUAGCGGUGAAAUGCGUAGAGAUGUGGAGGAACACCAGUGGCGAAGGCGACUCUCUGGUCUGUAACUGACGCUGAGGAGCGAAAGCGUGGGGAGCGAACAGGAUUAGAUACCCCCGUAGUCCCUGUCUCUUAUAC
Molecule: ribosomal RNA, 301 nt
Filed under: uncultured bacterium
Lineage: Bacteria
Description: partial 16S ribosomal RNA
Rfam family: Bacterial small subunit ribosomal RNA
Source: RNAcentral